This 430-nucleotide ribosomal RNA is filed under the name Chloroflexota bacterium. Its description in RNAcentral is "Chloroflexi bacterium partial 16S ribosomal RNA". It matches the Rfam family "Bacterial small subunit ribosomal RNA", at positions 355 to 776 of the family's 1533-position model. Lineage: Bacteria; Bacillati; Chloroflexota. The record is from RNAcentral.
UGGGGAAUAUUGCACAAUGGGCGCAAGCCUGAUGCAGCCAUGCCGCGUGUGUGAAGAAGGCCUUCGGGUUGUAAAGCACUUUCAGCGGGGAGGAAGGCGUUAAGGUUAAUAACCUUUGCUCAUUGACGUUACCCGCAGAAGAAGCACCGGCUAACUCCGUGCCAGCAGCCGCGGUAAUACGGAGGGUGCAAGCGUUAAUCGGAAUUACUGGGCGUAAAGCGCACGCAGGCGGUUUGUUAAGUCAGAUGUGAAAUCCCCGGGCUCAACCUGGGAACUGCAUCUGAUACUGGCAAGCUUGAGUCUCGUAGAGGGGGGUAGAAUUCCAGGUGUAGCGGUGAACUGCGUAGAGAUCUGGAGGAAUACCGGUUGCGAAGGCGGCCCCCUGGACGAAGACUGACGCUCGGGUACGAAAGCGUGGGGAGCAAACAGG